RNAcentral lists this ribosomal RNA (186 nucleotides) under uncultured Geobacter sp. RNAcentral's name for it is "partial 16S ribosomal RNA". It matches the Rfam family "Bacterial small subunit ribosomal RNA", at positions 1197 to 1382 of the family's 1533-position model. The record is from RNAcentral. Lineage: Bacteria; Pseudomonadati; Thermodesulfobacteriota; Desulfuromonadia; Geobacterales; Geobacteraceae.
GGCCCUUAUGACCAGGGCUACACACGUGCUACAAUGGCCGGUACAAAGAGUUGCGAUACCGCGAGGUGGAGCUAAUCUCAUAAAGCCGGUCUCAGUUCGGAUUGGAGUCUGCAACUCGACUCCAUGAAGUUGGAAUCGCUAGUAAUCGCGGAUCAGCACGCCGCGGUGAAUACGUUCCCGGGCCUU